Molecule: long non-coding RNA, 210 nt
Filed under: Canis lupus familiaris (dog)
Lineage: Eukaryota; Metazoa; Chordata; Mammalia; Carnivora; Canidae
Description: lncRNA (ENSCAFG00845012921.1)
Source: RNAcentral
CCUGACGCGUCCUCUCCCUGAUGUCACCCGGCGGCGCCGCGGAGCUGGCUGCUGUCACCUGCUGAGUGGUCAGCGUUCUCGAGUCCGUGCGAGUGCGGUUAGAAAACUUGUCCGGUUUAGCAGAACAAACCUACUCUGCUGGGACUCAAGAGUGGACAAGGAGGAUGGAAGUAACAUCUGUAUACAUCUGCUCCGUGUAAAAUGCCAACC